UUCAACGACCGGCCACCUUAUG
Molecule: microRNA, 22 nt
Filed under: Ixodes ricinus (castor bean tick)
Lineage: Eukaryota; Metazoa; Arthropoda; Arachnida; Ixodida; Ixodidae
Description: iri-miR-X10-3p
Source: RNAcentral